CCCAUGGGUACAUGAAGGACUCAAAGUGGAAAAGAAAAACGGGGUAGUUGAGACAUAGAUUGAGGUGUCUGCGUACUCCCAUCUUUUGGGCAGGUACUUUGACAUUCAGUAGUCAUAUCUCCCAUCCAGAGUCACUCCGCUGACAGUCAAGUUCUAAUUACGUGUAUAUGACUAUUUGUUGUGAAAUGCUGAGAUUCACUUGUCAAAUUAUAUGUAUGUAUAUAAUGGUUGAUGAUGUCAUUAUGAAUACAUGACUGGGUUUUAUGAGUUGUUUUCAAAUGAAUUGUAAUUGAGCAUUAUGAAUUUCAGAUUCUAAAGGAAUAUGGAUUAACGUA
Long non-coding RNA from Theobroma cacao (cacao), 335 nucleotides. RefSeq lists it as uncharacterized. The record is from RefSeq and is a predicted model, not a curated record. NCBI's taxonomy places the organism in Eukaryota, Viridiplantae, Streptophyta, Magnoliopsida, Malvales, Malvaceae.